This is a long non-coding RNA of Armigeres subalbatus, 593 nucleotides long. RefSeq lists it as uncharacterized. The transcript has 2 exons. NCBI's taxonomy places the organism in Eukaryota, Metazoa, Arthropoda, Insecta, Diptera, Culicidae. The record is from RefSeq and is a predicted model, not a curated record.
AAAAAUUGUAAAAUAAUGAAACAUACUUGAACAUUUCUCAUUUUUGGCAACUCUGGCAGGAUAAAAUAAUGUAAUUGGCAGCCCAUCACUGUCAGUGACAGUUGUAAAAAAGUUUACAACUCGUUUCGAAUGCCGUCACCGAUCCCGCAAAACAAAAAAAUCCAAGCGAGUUUCUGCCAAGGUUUCUGCCAACGAUAGGGACCCUCAUAUGAAGAGGAAAUCCACACACAACUUUAGCAGUGGCACCAGGUCAACAAAAAAUAUCGAUUCGGCGAACGAGAAGACAUCAUGCUGCAGCACAUUGAGCGGGUUUGUUAUCAAAAGAUACCAGGGUGUUGAUGAAUUACGGCUUUAUUAUGACCGGGGAGUGCCGGAUAACGCAGAGGCUGUAAAAUUCAGCCACGAACGGAACACCGAGGGACACAUGACCGGCCUCUUUCGAAUUGGUGGGUUGCGCCGGGUUACGCUUUUUCUAACCCGGACAACAAGAGCAUAUAUAUGAUAGUAUGACGAGGAAUCGGACCGAAAUCUAAAUUAUAAAAUCUGAAAACAAAAAUAAAAUGACAACAAUAAAUAAAUGAAAUAAGAAGAAA